RNAcentral lists this unclassified non-coding RNA (343 nucleotides) under soil metagenome. RNAcentral describes it as "partial contains 5.8S ribosomal RNA, internal transcribed spacer 2, and large subunit ribosomal RNA". The stretch from base 1 to 120 matches the Rfam family "5.8S ribosomal RNA", at positions 35 to 154 of the family's 154-position model. The record is from RNAcentral.
GAUGAAGAACGUAGCGAAAUGCGAUAAGUAAUGUGAAUUGCAGAAUUCAGUGAAUCAUCGAGUUUUUGAACGCAUAUUGCGCCCUCUGGUAUUCCGGGGGGCAUGCCUGUUCGAGCGUCAUUAAAUAACCCUCAAGCAUAGCUUGGUGUUGGGCUUUUUUACGUCCUUGACUGGGAUGGGCCUAAAAAUUAGUGGCGAUGGCUUUUUUACUUUCAAGCGUAGUAAAUCUCGUCUUGCUAAAGAGGAAAAAGAUUUUUUUUCUACCAAAAAUUUUAACAUUUAAAGUUGACCUCGGAUCAGGUAGGAUUACCCGCUGAACUUAAGCAUAUCAAUAAGCGGAGGA